UACGUAGGGUGCAAGCGUUAAUCGGAAUUACUGGGCGUAAAGCGCACGCAGGCGGAUUGAUAAGUCAGGGGUGAAAUCCCGGAGCUCAACUUCGGAAUUGCCUUUGAUACUGUCUGUCUUCGAGUUCGGGAGAGGUUGGCGGAAUUCCUAGUGUAGAGGUGAAAUUCGUAGAUAUUAGGAAGAACACCAGUGGCGAAGGCGGCCAACUGGCCCGACACUGACGCUCAUGUGCGAAAGCGUGGG
RNAcentral lists this ribosomal RNA (243 nucleotides) under uncultured bacterium. RNAcentral describes it as "partial 16S ribosomal RNA". It matches the Rfam family "Bacterial small subunit ribosomal RNA", at positions 524 to 765 of the family's 1533-position model. The record is from RNAcentral.